Molecule: long non-coding RNA, 894 nt
Filed under: Monodelphis domestica (gray short-tailed opossum)
Lineage: Eukaryota; Metazoa; Chordata; Mammalia; Didelphimorphia; Didelphidae
Description: lncRNA (ENSMODG00000051098.1)
Source: RNAcentral
GUCAUUUCAGUCUUGUUUGACAAUUCAUGACCCCACUUGGGGUUUUCUUGGCAAAGAUACUGGAGUGGUUUGCCAUUUCCUUGUCCAGCUCAUUUUACAGAUGAGGAAGUGAAGGCAAAUAGAGUUAAGUGACUUGUCCAGGGUCACACAUCUAAGAAGUAUUUGAAGCCAGAUUUGAACUCAUGAAGAUGAGUCUUCCUGAUUCCAAGCCCAGUGAUCUAUCCACUGCACCAUUUAGCUGCCCGUCUUAAUAAAUAACAUUUAUAUGGUGCAUUAAGAUUUUUUCAAUAUGUUGCACAUUGUAUAGAUUAUCUCAUUUGAACCCUAUUCUUUGUCCUGUCUUCUAAAAUCCUUUCUAGGUCUGAUACUGUUCCAUCUGUCCCAGCUAUGAAUAGGGUGGCAAUCUUGUGGGCAUGGGAAUUAAGAUGCAGCUUUUCCUCUCCAGCUUCUAUUCCAAGGAUGAGGAGGAACAUGUCGUUUGGCUUUAAUUGGGUUCAAAGGAAAAUUCUUGGCAGGGCCAAGCCACAUCAGACUGCCCCAGAAACCUCCCCAUCCGGAAGCUCACUCAGUUCCUGGACUCUACACUUGGAAGUACCCUCUGCUCCUGCAGCCUCUCCUUCUGUUUGGCUGGUCCCUGCUGGAACCUCCAUUUAAGUAGGGUGCCCUGUCAGCCUCAUUUGUCUGGGCUGAUUGCCUAACCACCUUUCUCUACAAUGCCCCAGGAACUGGGAACCUUCAUCUCGGCUGCCUCUUCUUCCUCAGCUCUACCUUGCCAGCUUCCUUUUAGAAUGCUUGCAUCCUGAGGCAGAGGCAGGGGCUACUUUUCUUUCUAAUCAUAUUUGUAUGCCAGCAUAUUGUCUGGCACUUAGUAAGUAAAUGCUUUCUGAAUUCGCU